This 854-nucleotide ribosomal RNA is filed under the name uncultured bacterium. RNAcentral describes it as "partial 16S ribosomal RNA". It matches the Rfam family "Bacterial small subunit ribosomal RNA", at positions 99 to 951 of the family's 1533-position model. The record is from RNAcentral.
CGGACGGGUGAGUAAUACAUCGGAACGUGUCCUAAAGUGGGGGAUAACGCAUCGAAAGAUGUGCUAAUACCGCAUAAUCUCUGAGGAGAAAAGUAGGGGAUCGAAAGACCUUAUGCUUUUGGAGCGGCUGAUGUCUGAUUAGCUAGUUGGUAAGGUAAUGGCUUACCAAGGCGACGAUCAGUAGUUGGUCUGAGAGGACGACCAGCCACACUGGGACUGAGACACGGCCCAGACUCCUACGGGAGGCAGCAGUGGGGAAUUUUGGACAAUGGGCGCAAGCCUGAUCCAGCAAUGCCGCGUGAGUGAAGAAGGCCUUCGGGUUGUAAAGCUCUUUCAGUUGAAAAGAAAAAGUCGUGACUAAUAAUCAUGGCUCAUGACGGUAUCAACAGAAGAAGCACCGGCUAACUACGUGCCAGCAGCCGCGGUAAUACGUAGGGUGCAAGCGUUAAUCGGAAUUACUGGGCGUAAAGGGUGCGCAGGCGGUUCUGUAAGUCAGAUGUGAAAUCCCCGGGCUUAACCUGGGAACUGCGUUUGAAACUGCAGAGCUAGAGUGCGGCAGAGGGAGGUGGAAUUCCAUGUGUAGCAGUGAAAUGCGUAGAGAUAUGGAAGAACAUCGAUGGCGAAGGCAACCUCCUGGGCUAGCACUGACGCUCAUGCACGAAAGCGUGGGGAGCAAACAGGAUCAGAUACCCUGGUAGNNNACGCCCUAAACUAUGUCAACUAGUUGUCGGGUCUUAAUAGACUUGGUAACGUAGCUAACGCNNNAAGUUGACCGCCUGGGGAGUACGGUCGCAAGAUAAAACUNNNNNNNAUUGACGGGGANCCNCACAAGCGGUGGAUUAUGUGGNNNAAUU